AAGCAAAUUGACAACAUUUGAAAAAGGAUCAUUGAAAGAAUAUGAGGAAUCACAUAUUGGUGGGAAUGCAAAGUGAGUCCUGCACAGUGAGCGGUGACGCACUGAAUGGUCCAUUUUUCUUUUCUAAAUCCAGGGCUGUGUUUUGCUUCUCAUGGCGCUGAUGGCAUAUCUGAAAGUUCUUUACUGAGCUAAAGAAUCUGCCUGCAAUGUGACAGACCUGGGUUUGAUCUUCCCAGGUCGGGAAGAUCCCCUGGAGAAGGGCAUGGCAACACCUCUAGUAUUCUUGCCUGGAGAAUCCCAUGGAGAGAGGAGCCUGGCUGGCUACAGUCCAUGGAGUCACAGAGUCGAACACGACUGAGCGACUAACACACUUUCACUUACU
This 382-nucleotide long non-coding RNA is filed under the name Bos indicus x Bos taurus (hybrid cattle). Its description in RNAcentral is "lncRNA (ENSBIXG00000018401.1)". Lineage: Eukaryota; Metazoa; Chordata; Mammalia; Artiodactyla; Bovidae. The record is from RNAcentral.